CCCUUAGAUGUUCUGGGCCGCACGCGUGCUACACUGAACAGUUCAACAAGUCUUAACCUUGGCCGAUAGGUCUGGGUAAUCUUUGAACGCUGUUCGUGAUUGGGAUAGACCUUUGCAAUUAUGGGUCUUCAACGAGGAAUUCCUAGUAAACGCAAGUCAUCAGCUUGCAUUGAUUACGUCCCUGCCCUUUGUACACACCGCCCGUCGCACCUACCGAUUGAAUGGUCCGGUGAAAUCUCGGGACGGCGGCUCGGUCGCUUGCGUCCGACUGCUGAAACUUGAUUAAACCAUAUCAUUUAGAGGAAGGUGAAGUCGUAACA
RNAcentral lists this ribosomal RNA (320 nucleotides) under uncultured eukaryote. Its description in RNAcentral is "partial 18S ribosomal RNA". It matches the Rfam family "Eukaryotic small subunit ribosomal RNA", at positions 1470 to 1796 of the family's 1831-position model. The record is from RNAcentral.